AGCUGCUACAUUAAUAGGACAACAAUGCCACCCAUCAGAGACAAAAGGCGCCCUGCUUGGUACUGGAUUCAAUAAAUGAACACAAAAAUUACUUCCAGCCUAUAAGGCAGCAGUUUUUUCUCCAUCACCUGAAUCCUGUUGUCCUGUAGCAUUUCAAAACUUAAUUUUUCAGACAGCAGUGUGGUUGCCAAAUGAAAAUAAAGAUUAUUCAAAAGACUCUACCACUAUUUUCUAUUAGAUACAAUGGCUGAAAUGUGUAGGAGAGCUAAAGCAGAGAAGGAGAAAGACCUGAAUAAUCACUUUCAACAAAAGUGAUUGCCGAUGACAGGUGUGGGUCGGAGCUACGUACACCUGGUGCCUCUUCCAGAGCUACUGCUAGUCUUGGCAUUCUGGGUUUUGAAUGACUACGGAGAUUACAAUGGCAAACAAAGGAAUAUGAGGAACAAUAAUCUGCACCGAAAAGCACUGUUCUCUCAGUGGCAGCCCAAUGCCGAUGGCAGCAGCAGGCCACGGCCGUGCCUCUCCCACCUGCACAGGCCUCAGGUAACCAGGUAACCUUCCUGCUGGGGACACAGGCCCCACUGCAGGAGGGAAGCUGAAGCACAUGCAAAUCCUCCAUUUUUAAGGAAUUGGACAACCACUUAUUGGUAUAUACUACUGUCCCUAGUAUCCCUCAGAGCGAUUUAACCACUCCUGCCAGAGACCAUGGUUAAAGCUGCAGGUGAACCUGCCUGCUCGUCCUCACCACCUGGGGGAUGUGGCCAUGCUGUGCUGUGGUACCUCAGAGCUGGGGGCAGCAAGGAGUAGGCCGCUCAAGACUCUGGGAAACUGGAGAAGCAGGGGGUGGUACAACUUCUGUAGGCUGGUGGAAGAUAAAGGGAAGGUCCUUCUGCAGGAAUGUGGUAAGAUCAGGAAAUGCCAUCUCCCUCAUCGAGUGGGUUUUUCUGUUGAGUGGGUGGGUCACGUCUGGCAAAUUGUAUGGCCAACUACUGCUUUUAUGUUCCAACCUCAGUCUU
RNAcentral lists this long non-coding RNA (1016 nucleotides) under Numida meleagris (helmeted guineafowl). Its description in RNAcentral is "lncRNA (ENSNMEG00000014820.1)". Lineage: Eukaryota; Metazoa; Chordata; Aves; Galliformes; Numididae. The record is from RNAcentral.